RNA transcript from Armigeres subalbatus, 4050 nucleotides. It is a transcript of the gene named kelch-like protein 5, with no coding region annotated. The transcript has 10 exons. Lineage: Eukaryota; Metazoa; Arthropoda; Insecta; Diptera; Culicidae. The record is from RefSeq and is a predicted model, not a curated record.
UCCAAAACAACGACAAAGCGUCAUCAGUAGCAGUAGCAGCAGCCCAGCUCCUGAUGGGUGAUUCCGUGCUCGUCUCGGUCUCAGUUCUGCAGAUUUUUUGUUUUUUUCGCAUCCUGCUGUGUGUCGAAGAAGACUAGAAAACAAGACGCGAGUACUGGAUGAGGUGAAUGACGACGAUGUGUUCGCGGCCGUCAGACAUCGGGAAGAUACCGUCGCGAUCGGACAAGUGAAUUUCUUUCUCCAUACAGCAGAAACCCAGCUAAUUACCCACAGAAGCAACGAAUCGAGUGUUUAUUGUAGUGGACAAGUGGAGUUCAGUGCUUAAUAUGUUUAGUACUGUUUUUGUACGAUGAGAGUGGAAUUCAGUGUCCUUACCAGUUCUGAUAUAUAAUCACGGAAGUGUAAGAAAUAACGCCAACGAAAAUACGAAAAUAAUUUAUCCAGAAAACUAACAAAAAGCAUGAGUGAAAUGUCUUGCAAGGGCAGUCCAACAUCGAGCGCUAGCGCUCGGAUAAGUUUGGUAACAGACGAGAGCCAUUUCAGCUUGGCCAGCCUGAAUUCUUCCGUCAGUCAGGAUGAGUUCUUCCGCUGCAGGGAACAUUCUGAUCUAGUGCUCAAGCGGAUGCAAGAAUACCUACAGAACGAGAAGCUGUGCGACGUGGUCUUGAUCGCAGGAUUAGACGGCAAGCGCGUACCAGCCCAUCGCUUAGUGCUGUCAGCAUCGUCAGCAUACUUCAGUGCAAUGUUCACCGGACAUCUGAGGGAAAGUCAACAGGAAGAAAUAACCCUCCAGGAAGUAUCCGGUGAGGCGCUGCAACUGCUUAUCCAGUACUGCUACACAGGAACCAUUGAACUACGUGAAGACACGGUAGAAACGCUGCUCGCAACCGCCUGCCUGCUUCAGCUCAGCACAAUCGUCAACGCGUGCUGCACGUUCUUAGCUCGUCAGCUACAUCCGUCCAACUGUUUAGGGUUCUCGUUAUUUGCCGAACAGCAGGGAUGCACCGCGCUGCUCAAAAUCGCGUCCGCCUAUACCUGCCAGCAUUUCAUGCAGGUUUGGAAGAAUCAGGAAUUUUUCCAACUGGAUUCAGUGCAACUGUCAACACUGCUGAAAAGCGAUGACCUGAAUGUUCCUAACGAGCAGGAAGUAUUCCACGCACUAAUGGCCUGGAUACAGUUCGAAUCGGAAACACGAAAACAGUACAUACCAGAGCUGUUGGCUUUGAUACGUUUGCCACUGUUGCAGCCAUCGUUCAUAGUGGAUCACGUAGAAGCUCUGUGCGGUGCUAAUGAGUGUCAACAAUUGGUGAUGGAGGCGUUCAAAUGGCAUCUCAUUCCCGGAAGGAGGUCACAAAUUUCAACACAAAGAACCAGACCACGAAAGUCGACAAUAGGCAAACUGUUGGCUGUAGGUGGAAUGGAUGGACACAAAGGAGCUAUUAGCAUAGAGAGCUACGAACCGCGCUUGGACAAGUGGACUUUGUUGAAAAAUAUGCCUGCCAGACGACUCCAGUUCGGCGUUGCCGUUAUGGACGAUAAAUUGAUAAUUGUAGGCGGAAGAGAUGGUUUGAAGACGUUGAACACCGUGGAGUGUUUUGAUUUGACAACGAUGACCUGGGGCUCAAUCGUACCACCGAUGGGUACGCCUAGACACGGUCUAGGAGUUGCAUUUUUAGAAGGACCACUAUACGCGGUUGGAGGUCAUGAUGGGUGGAGUUAUCUAGCGACGGUUGAACGUUGGGAUCCUGCCGCCCGUACAUGGAGCUACGUAGCGCCAAUGUCUUCAAUGAGAUCGACUGCUGGUGUUGCGGUAUUAAAUUCAAGGUUGUUCGUUAUUGGUGGUAGAGAUGGAAGCGUGUGCCAUCGAACGGUUGAGUGCUACGAUCCUCAUACGAAUAAAUGGACAUUGCGUGCACCAAUGAACAAGCGCAGAGGUGGAGUGGGGGUUGGCGUACUGAAUGGAUACCUGUACGCUUUGGGAGGUCACGAUUGUCCUGCCAGUAAUCCAGCCGUUUGUAGAACCGAAACAGUGGAACGGUAUGAUCCCACGACAGAUACCUGGACCUUGAUCGCUUCGAUCAGUGUUGGGCGGGAUGCCAUCGGUGUAAGCGUUCUUGGCGAUUGGCUGAUUGCCGUCGGUGGAUACGAUGGCAAUCAGUAUUUGAAGACAGUCGAACAGUAUGAUACGGAAAGUAACGAAUGGCAACAGAUCGCCGCUGUCAAUUAUAGUCGGGCUGGUGCCUGCGUAGUGGCUAUCCCAAACAACUUUUCUUCCCCCGGUGGAGUCGCAACUGUAGGCCCUUCUGCGGCUUCGAUAGCGGGUGCAUUAGUGUCAUCUUCCUCCUCGACGAAUACUACAGUUUAGUACAAGAGUUCUGCUACAGCACUGAUUUCUAGUGAUGCUUCUUCAUUCCUAAGAACGUCUAUCAUCAAUCGGACGUUCCAAAUAAUACAGCAUCUCGCGUGUUCGUGUGUUUACUACUCCCCAUUUUACUGCUAAGUAAUAAUAGAGGAGCAGGUUCCUCUCGUAGCGGUAACUAUUAUUAUAGACGACAAUUUAGGAUUUUUGAUUAUUACGUUUAAACACAAGGCUGCCCAUCCAAGUGAAGAUAUGUGUAUACACAAUUUUGUACUGAUGAAGCGAUGAUAGAUAAGCACAGAAUCCAUAUCGAAUCCUACACACAUUGCAAUGAAGACGAUUUUUCUCCUGUGAUGAUUUAUAUUUUACUUUAUUAUACAAUAUAGUUUUUUUUACGUAAAUAUAUCGAUAAGUAAAUUUUUCCCAGUGAACCGCGAGCCUAGCGAGCCAACUCUUCAAUGCGGAUUCCACCCGGUUUUGUUGGUUCUCCUUGAGUUUAGUUGUCAAAUUUGAUUAUGUGAUUGAUGGUCAUACGCCGAUGCCCAAAGAUACGUAGCCAAAAUAUUAAAAAAAAAUACGGGGAAAUGUGAAACCAUAAUUCCUUUUACCGGUGGAAUGUCGUUGCGAGGUAUGCAGUAUCAAAAACGCAUCAAAGCUAUUUUUAAACACCCAAUAGAUAUGUGUUUGUCACAUUUGGGGACUGUUAUUAUACAUUGAAAGUCUAAUUCACUAUUUCGUCAAAAAAAUACUUAUAUAUUAUUUGAAUAACAUUCCAAAUUUGAACUAUAUACUCAUUUGAAAAACUUUUUCAUACCGAUAGGCCAGACGCAAGUCGCCACACCCUCGCGAGAUCUCAACAAUUCGACAUACUAUUUUUCAGGCAAUCAAAUGUUCAAAUACAAAGUUCUUAAAUUUGCAGAGAUUUGAAUAAUCAAAACAUAAUUCGCAUAGACAAACAUUCAAAAAGUUUCCAGCGUUCUAUUGCUAGCACACAAAGGACUGUAAACUAUAAUCUUUAGUUUGAAAUUAUUCUGAUUUUUUUUUGCGCUUCGGCCACUUGUUUAAUCAACAAAUUUUAGGCGAAUAGGUUUUGGAUCGGUAGAAUAUACAUGCGGAUGUUCUAUUUAAGCUCUUAAAAUCUCGUGAUAGCCACGGAAAGUUUCUUCAUUUAUCUAUAAAAAUAGCUUUUUUGCAUAUGAAAAAUACUGUAAGUGUACUUUAUCUGUGAUCGGCUAAAUCAAUAUAAAAUACGAUAAAUUAACUUCAAAGCUGCAGAAAAAUUAGUUUACUUCAGUUUUGAUUUUCUUUCAAUAUAUAUACCCAAGCGUGGCUGAUAGUUUAAGUAGGUAUUAUGUGAGCGUAAAUUUGGCACUAAUUCUUUUCUAGGACAACUGAAGGCUUUGGUGUGUGAUAGAUCUUUUAGUUUUGAAUUUUGACAUAGAGACAGUGAACGAACAGUUAAGAAGCUUGUAGAGUAGGGAGCAAUACGAAAAACGAGUGUAGAUAAUUGCGUACGCUUGUAGACAGUGGAUCCGAUUGAGAUGACAAUGGAUAACAAAAUUGUACAAAAAGUCGAAAAUUCGAUACCGGGCUACAGCACAAGUGAAAAUGGUACUAAUUUUGAUACUAUUUAUACUUAGCACUAUAACACUGACGAUCAAUUAAUAAAACAUAUUUUAGUAUGAAACGAA